CCAAGGAGUCUAACACGUGCGCGAGUCAUUGGGUAUGCUCGAAACCUAAAGGCGCAGUGAAAGCAAGCACCGGCCGACCACGUCGGCCGGGCUCGAGACGAUGGAGGUGCUCCGACGUGACCCUCCCGCAGUCUCGGGGCGAUCCGUGCCACUUUGUGGCUGAGGUCGCACCUGGAGCGUACGUGUUGGGACCCGAAAGAUGGUGAACUAUGCCCGGUCAGGACGAAGUCAGGGGAAACCCUGAUGGAAGUCCGAAGCGCUUCUGACGUGCAAAUCGAUCGUCCGAGCUGGGUAUAGGGGCGAAAGACCAAUCGAAUCAUCUA
RNAcentral lists this ribosomal RNA (323 nucleotides) under Texoreddellia texensis. Its description in RNAcentral is "eukaryotic LSU rRNA". It matches the Rfam family "Eukaryotic large subunit ribosomal RNA", at positions 666 to 946 of the family's 3401-position model. The record is from RNAcentral. Lineage: Eukaryota; Metazoa; Arthropoda; Insecta; Zygentoma; Nicoletiidae.